GUGAGGAGAUCACCAGUUAGCUCGGUAUUGCACUGCAUCCAGGCAGCAGCAAGAGGAUGUUGCAAGGAUGGAGGACCUGGUUGACAUGAAUGCUAAGGAAAGGUUACAGGUUUCAUAAGGAGGAAGGAAGAAAUACAGGGUGGCAGAGGUGUACUGAGCUAUCCAGAAACACCAUCGCUGAAAACCACCACACACAGGAGAGAAGAGAAGACACAUGCUUGGGCUGAUUGGAUGGCACUGCUAUGUAUUCUGCAAGAAGUAACAGCAGGGAAAGGAUACGAUAUUUUUGAUUCUUUGUUGUUUGCUUGGAACAUUUCAGUUCCUGAACUGUGACACAUAAACCUGCAGGACCAUGUAAAUACCAACUCGUUUUGAGGCAUCAACCAUUCAGACUAUGGACUGAAAGAACAAACACCCUGCACAAGCAGAGAUAGACAGCCUGUAUAGUAUAGUGGAUUAUCUGCUUUGCUCAGCAGCUUGAGGUUUUCCAUUGUGCCACCAUUAUCACAGAAAAACAACAGGAUGGCGUCCCCCUUCAGAAAAUGGGAAGAAAGUUUGCCUACACCUCCUCCAGUCUGUUCAUGACCCCCAACACUGCAAACCCUCAGCCUUACGCAGAACAGUUACAUGACUCCAGAGAAUGAACUAUAUCUAUCUACUAGUGGGAGCUGUGAAUCUUGACAUCACACAGAUUUCUGUUCCCUCUUACCAGAAGAGAAGUUCCCUUUCUUGGCUAUAGAGGAAGAAAAAAAGGUCUCAGAUGUUCCUUCCCUGGCCUAAAACUGGCUGAUUGUAGCUCACACUCCAAGGACAAAGUAUGUGAAAUUUAAGAUGGGUGGGAGUAUAGACCCACCAAAAUGUCCUCUCUUCUCUAUCACCAGCCUGCGUGGAAAUAAGACAAGACCAACACUGCAUUCUAGCGGAAUGUGUUGUGCAAACUCCUUCCAUCCAAGCAAGGGAACAGAGAGGCAUACUUUGCUCUUAGCUCCACGCAAAGUAGCACAUAUCCUUAUCAUAUCCUACCCAACAGGGGUGCUAAACCUGAGGCCUGAGCCUUUCAUCGGCCCUGCAGUCAGAAAACUCCAGCAGGCUGCACUGUCAGGAGCCUCUCCUUGCUGCACACUGUUUGCCCCUCUACGCAAGCCCAGCCUGAAGCUAUCUCAGCUGCUGGCAGCUGGGAGGUGCUGCGAAAGCAGUGGAUUUUAUUUCUGGGCUGGAGUCAACAAGUGUAAGCAAGGCCUAACACAAGGUGCUGAUGAAAGAGAAGAAUCAUAGAGGUGCUUUGCAGCACAGUACAGCCCCAGGAGAUGUUGCAUCAGGGGCAGAAGCUUGCAGGAGGCAGCUUUAACAGCAUUCUCUGGUAACAUGGGAGGAAACUGCUUCCAGCACAACCCUGACAAUCCAGGACACCUGGUCUUCUCAAACCUGCCUCUUUAUUUAACAUAAGCCCAGAACCCCACAGCACACCCACCUUGUGUAGGAGGAAGUUCUGUGACAUUUGGGGAAUUUUCUGCUCCAAGAAAUCUCAUAAUUAGCUGUCCAAACCAAGAUUAGGACUCAAUCUUAGUUUUCAGAAGAAAUAUACUGUCCAUGAAACUGUGUGGUUCUCGGCUACCCAAAGCAAUGGAGCACCAUAGAAAGCCACAUAGUACCCUUCAUUUUUAAAGAAAAUGGAUUGGUACUGAGUGGAAACUGAGCCAAUUUGUGUUCUCCUUUACAUACCUUGUAAUUAUGUUUGGAAUAAGUUGAAGUUAUACAGCUGUAUAUUGCUAAACAAACCAUAAUUUGUGUCAUUUGAGAUACCAUACAAAUAGACCCACCAAGCAAGUUCACUUUAUUAUUAAUAUUGUUUGUGGCACAGCUAAUCGUAGUGAGAUUCAGCUGUCUUAGCUUCAGGCAUUUGAUAUGGCUGUCUAGGCUUUUAAAGUCAAUGAAGGGAAACAGAUGCUUGUACAAUACAUCCCAUUUCCAUCAUAAUACAGACACCUCCACUAGACCAGAUAACUCAUGCUUUUUGUUUCUGGAUAUCAUUGGAGUUGAGAUAGCUUGCUCAGAAAUAAAUGUCUGUGCCUUUGCUGUAGAUACCUACA
This is a long non-coding RNA of Anser cygnoides (Swan goose), 2090 nucleotides long. The record is from Ensembl. NCBI's taxonomy places the organism in Eukaryota, Metazoa, Chordata, Aves, Anseriformes, Anatidae.